This 462-nucleotide ribosomal RNA is filed under the name Triticum aestivum (bread wheat). RNAcentral describes it as "partial small subunit ribosomal RNA". The record is from RNAcentral. Lineage: Eukaryota; Viridiplantae; Streptophyta; Magnoliopsida; Poales; Poaceae.
AUGCCAUCGUCUCUGACGGACAUCCCUGACCACCUACUGGCCGAGAUCUUCCUCCGCCUGCCCGACCCGGCCGACCUCGCCCGCGCCUCCGCCGCCUGCCUCACCUUCCACCGACUCGCCACCGACCGCUACUUUCUCCGCCGCUUCCGCUGCCUCCACGCACCACCACUCCUCGGCUUCCUCGACCGCGACGGGUUCCAUCCAGCACUAGCGCCUCACCCCUCCGCACCCGCCGCCCGCGCGCUCGCCCUUGCCGCCGAUUUCUCCUUCUCUUUCCUUCCCUCCCAUCGCCUUUGGACCGUGCAGGACAGCCGCGACGGCCGCGUCCUCCUCCAGCGCGGGCCCGAAAUGGGCGAGGUGGCCCUGAUCUUCCGGGAGCUCGCCGUGUGUGACCCUUUCCACCGGUGGCAUCUCAUGCUCCCCCCAGUACCUCGCGACCUAGUCGCUUCGGUACUUCGGUAG